RNAcentral lists this ribosomal RNA (301 nucleotides) under uncultured bacterium. Its description in RNAcentral is "partial 16S ribosomal RNA". It matches the Rfam family "Bacterial small subunit ribosomal RNA", at positions 509 to 807 of the family's 1533-position model. The record is from RNAcentral.
CAGCAGCCGCGGGAAUACGGAGGGUGCAGGCGUUAAUCGGAAUUACUGGGCGUAAAGCGCACGCAGGCGGUCUGUUAAGUCUGCUGUGAAAUCCCCGGGCUCAACCUGGGAAUGGCAGUGGAUACUGGCAAGCUAGAGUGUGUCAGAGGAUGGUGGAAUUCCCGGUGUAGCGGUGAAAUGCGUAGAGAUCGGGAGGAACAUCAGUGGCGAAGGCGGCCAUCUGGGACAACACUGACGCUGAGGCACGAAAGCGUGGGGAGCAAACAGGAUUAGAGACCCCCGUAGUCCCUGUCUCUUAUAC